GCGUCAGUACAUACGUAGUAGACUGCCUUCGCAAUCGGUAUUCUGUGUAAUAUCUAUGCAUUUCACCGCUACACUACACAUUCUAUCUACUUCCAUAUGACUCAAGUCAACCAGUAUCAAAGGCAGUUCCAUAGUUAAGCUAUGGGAUUUCACCUCUGACUUAAUUGACCGCCUGCGGACCCUUUAAACCCAAUGAUUCCGGAUAACGCUUGCACCCUCCGUAUUACCGCGGCUGCUGGCACGGAGUUAGCCGGUGCUUAUUCUUACAGUACCGUCAAGGCUCUACACGUAGAGCUGUUUCUUCCUGUAUAAAAGCAGUUUACAACCCAUAGGGCCUUCUUCCUGCACGCGGCAUGGCUGGGUCAGAGUUGCCUCCAUUGCCCAAUAUUCCUCACUGCUGCCUCCCGUAGGAGUCUGGUCCGUGUCUCAGUACCAGUGUGGGGGAUCUCCCUCUCAGGACCCCUACCUAUCGUUGCCAUGGUAAGCCGUUACCUUACCAUCUAGCUAAUAGGACGCAUAGCCAUCUUUUACCGAUAAAUCUUUAAUUAAAAACUCAUGCGAGUCUUUAAUACUAUAAGGCAUUAAUCUUCAUUUCUAAAGGCUAUUCCUCUGUAAAAGGUAGGUUCUAUACGCGUUACGCACCCGUGCGCCGGUCGUCAGCGGAGCAAGCUCCCUGUUACCCCUCGACUUGCAUGUGUUAAGCCUGCCGCUAGCGUUCAUCCUGAGCCAGGAUCAAACUCU
RNAcentral lists this ribosomal RNA (741 nucleotides) under uncultured bacterium. RNAcentral's name for it is "partial 16S ribosomal RNA". The record is from RNAcentral.